ACUUACCUGGCAGGGGAGAUACCAUGAUCACGAAGGUGGUUUUCCCAGGGCGAGGCUUAUCCAUUGCACUCCGGAUGUGCUGACCCCUGCGAUUUCCCCAAAUGCGGGAAACUCGACUGCAUAAUUUGUGGUAGUGGGGGACUGCGUUCGCGCUCUCCCCUG
RNAcentral lists this small nuclear RNA (162 nucleotides) under Rattus norvegicus (Norway rat). Its description in RNAcentral is "U1A snRNA". It matches the Rfam family "U1 spliceosomal RNA". Rfam says of the family: U1 is a small nuclear RNA (snRNA) component of the spliceosome (involved in pre-mRNA splicing). The record is from RNAcentral. Lineage: Eukaryota; Metazoa; Chordata; Mammalia; Rodentia; Muridae.